This 73-nucleotide transfer RNA is filed under the name Bavayia sauvagii. RNAcentral describes it as "tRNA-Trp". The record is from RNAcentral. Lineage: Eukaryota; Metazoa; Chordata; Lepidosauria; Squamata; Diplodactylidae.
AGAAACUUAGGUUAGACAAAACCAAGAGCCUUCAAAGCCCUAAACAGAGGAAAUCAAUACCCCCUAGUUUCUG